GUGUCAGCAGCCGCGGUAAUACGAAGGUCCCGAGCGUUGUUCGGAAUCACUGGGCGUAAAGGGAGCGUAGGCGGCGUGGCAAGUCAGACGUGAAAUCCCGGGGCUCAACCCCGGAACUGCGUCCGAUACUGCCAUGCUCGAGCAUUGGAGAGGCAGCUGGAAUUCUUGGUGUAGCAGUGAAAUGCGUGGAUAUCAAGAGGAACACUCGUGGCGAAAGCGAGCUGCUGGACAAUUGCUGACGCUGAGGCUCGAAGGCCGGGGGAGCGAAAGGGAUUAGAUACCCCUGUAGUCC
RNAcentral lists this ribosomal RNA (292 nucleotides) under uncultured bacterium. RNAcentral describes it as "partial 16S ribosomal RNA". It matches the Rfam family "Bacterial small subunit ribosomal RNA", at positions 505 to 796 of the family's 1533-position model. The record is from RNAcentral.